RNAcentral lists this long non-coding RNA (240 nucleotides) under Lathyrus oleraceus (garden pea). RNAcentral's name for it is "Pisum sativum (pea) long non-coding RNA (PSAT_LNC019850)". Lineage: Eukaryota; Viridiplantae; Streptophyta; Magnoliopsida; Fabales; Fabaceae. The record is from RNAcentral.
GAUACAGUUAUGGAGCACAUCAGAUGGCUUGGAAUUAGCUUGAAUUUGUUGGAUGUUUGGAAUUUAUUAUUGUAAAUUGGAAUUGUAUUGAAAUGUGGAUGUGGAAAUUGAAUGUAAUAAAUUUGGGAAAUCGUUUAUGAUGUAAGUGUAUUAUGGUUUUGAAAGUAUGAAAAUGAUUGUUGGAUUGAAUCAAAUGGUUCAUGCAAAAUUGAAAUAUCAUAACUAUGAAUGAAUUGAAAA